This 660-nucleotide ribosomal RNA is filed under the name Triticum aestivum (bread wheat). RNAcentral's name for it is "partial small subunit ribosomal RNA". The record is from RNAcentral. Lineage: Eukaryota; Viridiplantae; Streptophyta; Magnoliopsida; Poales; Poaceae.
AUGCCGGCGUACCAGAGGAGAUCGAGCUUGCUGAGGAGUGCUCGUUGCCGAUCUGUCUCCUGCCCGCGCAAGGCAGCACGUACUCGCGAUGGGUGCCUCGCCAAGCAGCCGAAAGCGACGGUUCGAGUGACGCGCAUCGAGUUCGACCCGAGCGAUCUCACCGAUGGUAGCGACGACCUCGACGUGUCCGUGAAGAAGCUGACUCGGUCGGAAGCCAGCAACGACGCGUUCCCAGCGGUGCCGCCGUGCGGGGGAUGGGUAGUGCUCUGGUUGGGCCGGGCAGGCGACAAGAACCUCUACUUCGUCGACGCAGCGCCCGGGGAAGAGAUGGUAUGGAGGGUCACGGAAGGCCAGUGGAUCGACACGAUGCCGAGCUGGUCGCCGGACGGGAAGUUGAUCGCACUCUCCUCCAACUGGCACAAAGCGGACAACACCGCCGUUUUCAACAUCGACUUGGUGCGGCCGGACGGUAGAGGGCUGCGACGAGUACACGUGGUCGGGCCGCCGGGGAGCACGGAGGCGGACAAGGAGCGGAUCAACCACAUGUGCUUCGGUCCAGACGGCGAGUGGCUGCUCUUAACGGCCAACCUCGGCGGCGGUGUGGCCGAGCCCAUCUCGGGGCCGACGGGGAGGGCCUUGAGCUUCUUGACGUCCCAGUAG